Molecule: ribosomal RNA, 497 nt
Filed under: uncultured bacterium
Lineage: Bacteria
Description: partial 16S ribosomal RNA
Rfam family: Bacterial small subunit ribosomal RNA
Source: RNAcentral
GAUGAACGCUGGCGGCGUGCCUAAUACAUGCAAGUCGAGCGAACAGAUGAGGAGCUUGCUCCUCUGACGUUAGCGGCGGACGGGUGAGUAACACGUGGAUAACCUACCUAUAAGACUGGGAUAACUUCGGGAAACCGGAGCUAAUACCGGAUAAUAUAUUGAACCGCAUGGUUCAAUAGUGAAAGACGGUUUUGCUGUCACUUAUAGAUGGAUCCGCGCCGCAUUAGCUAGUUGGUAAGGUAACGGCUUACCAAGGCAACGAUGCGUAGCCGACCUGAGAGGGUGAUCGGCCACACUGGGACUGAGACACGGUCCAGACUCCGACGGGAGGCAGCAGUAGGGAAUCUUCCGCAAUGGGCGAAAGCCUGACGGAGCAACGCCGCGUGAGUGAUGAAGGUCUUCGGAUCGUAAAACUCUGUUAUUAGGGAAGAACAAAUGUGUAAGUAACUAUGCACGUCUUGACGGUACCUAAUCAGAAAGCCACGGCUAACUACGUG